Molecule: ribosomal RNA, 492 nt
Filed under: uncultured bacterium
Lineage: Bacteria
Description: partial 16S ribosomal RNA
Rfam family: Bacterial small subunit ribosomal RNA
Source: RNAcentral
AGUGAACGCUGGCGGUAGGCCUAACACAUGCAAGUCGAACGGCAACACAGUAAGAGCUUGCUCUUACGGGUGGCGAGUCGCGGACGGGUCAGGAAUACAUCGGAAUCUACUUUUUCGUGGGGCAUAACGUAGCGAAACUUACGCUAAUAUCGCAUACCCCCUACCGGUGAAAGCAGUGGAUCUUCGGACCUUUCGCGGUUGAAUUCGCCGCUUUCGGAUUAGCUAGUUGGCGGGGUAAAUGCCCACCAAGGCGGCGAUCCGUUGCUGGACUGAGAGAAUGAUAGGCGACACUGGAAGUGAGACAGGGUCAAGAGGACUACGGGAGGCAGCAGUGGGGAAUAUUGGGCAAUGGGCGCAAGCAUGAUACAGCCAGACCGAGUGGGUGAAGAAGGCGUUCGGGGUGUAAAGACCGUUUGUGGGGAAAGAAAAGCAGCAGGUUGAGACCACGCUGGAGUGACGGUAACGAAAGAAGAAGCACCGGCUAACUACGUG